This 253-nucleotide ribosomal RNA is filed under the name uncultured bacterium. RNAcentral's name for it is "partial 16S ribosomal RNA". It matches the Rfam family "Bacterial small subunit ribosomal RNA", at positions 524 to 776 of the family's 1533-position model. The record is from RNAcentral.
UACGUAGGGGGCGAGCGUUGUCCGGAUUUACUGGGCGUAAAGCGUGCGCAGGCGGUUUUGUAAGACAGGCGUGAAAUCCCCGAGCUCAACUUGGGAAUUGCGCUUGUGACUGCAAGGCUAGAGUGUGUCAGAGGGGGGUAGAAUUCCACGUGUAGCAGUGAAAUGCGUAGAGAUGUGGAGGAAUACCGAUGGCGAAGGCAGCCCCCUGGGACAUGACUGACGCUCAUGCACGAAAGCGUGGGGAGCAAACAGG